GGGGACCUUCGGGCCUCUUGCCAUCGGAUGUGCCCAGAUGGGAUUAGCUAGUAGGUGGGGUAACGGCUCACCUAGGCGACGAUCCCUAGCUGGUCUGAGAGGAUGACCAGCCACACUGGAACUGAGACACGGUCCAGACUCCUACGGGAGGCAGCAGUGGGGAAUAUUGCACAAUGGGCGCAAGCCUGAUGCAGCCAUGCCGCGUGUAUGAAGAAGGCCUUCGGGUUGUAAAGUACUUUCAGCGGGGAGGAAGGGAGUAAAGUUAAUACCUUUGCUCAUUGACGUUACCCGCAGAAGAAGCACCGGCUAACUCCGUGCCAGCAGCCGCGGUAAUACGGAGGGUGCAAGCGUUAAUCGGAAUUACUGGGCGUAAAGCGCACGCAGGCGGUUUGUUAAGUCAGAUGUGAAAUCCCCGGGCUCAACCUGGGAACUGCAUCUGAUACUGGCAAGCUUGAGUCUCGUAGAGGGGGGUAGAAUUCCAGGUGUAGCGGUGAAAUGCGUAGAGAUCUGGAGGAUACCGGUGGC
This 525-nucleotide ribosomal RNA is filed under the name uncultured Escherichia sp. RNAcentral describes it as "bacterial SSU rRNA". It matches the Rfam family "Bacterial small subunit ribosomal RNA", at positions 202 to 716 of the family's 1533-position model. The record is from RNAcentral. Lineage: Bacteria; Pseudomonadati; Pseudomonadota; Gammaproteobacteria; Enterobacterales; Enterobacteriaceae.